RNAcentral lists this ribosomal RNA (460 nucleotides) under uncultured bacterium. RNAcentral describes it as "partial 16S ribosomal RNA". It matches the Rfam family "Bacterial small subunit ribosomal RNA", at positions 338 to 795 of the family's 1533-position model. The record is from RNAcentral.
CCUACGGGAGGCUGCAGUGAGGAAUAUUGGUCAAUGGGCUUAAGCCUGAACCAGCCAAGUCGCGUGAGGGAAGAAUGCCCUAUGGGUUGUAAACCUCUUUUGUCAGGGAGCAACGCCGGCUACGUGUAGCCGGACUGAGAGUACCCGAAGAAAAAGCAUCGGCUAACUCCGUGCCAGCAGCCGCGGUAAUACGGAGGAUGCGAGCGUUAUCCGGAUUUAUUGGGUUUAAAGGGGGCUUAGGCGGAAUGCCAAGUCAGCGGUAAAAUCGCGGGGUUCAACCUCGAUCCGCAGUUGAAACUGGCGUUCUUGAGUGGGCGAGAGGUAUGCGGAAUGCGUGGUGUAGGGGUGAAAUGCAUAGAUAUCACGCAGAACUCCGAUUGCGAAGGCAGCAUGCCGGCGCCCAACUGACGCUGAAGCACGAAAGUGUGGGUAUCGAACAGGAUUAGAUACCCCUGUAGUC